CUUAUUUAAUUAGAUUACACAGCUUUCAGCCUUGAUUGCCUGUGUUCUCCGUGUAAUUGUCAACAUGUCUCCCGUCUUGAAGGAACAUUAGCUUCUUAAACAAGAACCGUAUCAGAGGAGGGGGUGGAUCCGCCAAUGUCCCCACAACUUUCAAACUCAAACACAUUCAAGCACCCAAGAAGCUCAGCAGAGAAAGGACCCAUCGAAGUCUGAUUCUGAGGUCCAUUGUGGGGCCCUCUGUCCCUCAGGAGCUAGCUUGAGAAAGUGAUUGUCCACUAUCUGGUCCCUUGGCUCCUACUGAAACAGCCAGAGCACACAUAUCGUCUGCUUCGGCUGGAAUAGGUAGGAGACGUACAUCGAAUUUGGAGAAUCUAGCAAGCACUGUGAGAGAUUGCUUGCUUAGAUUGGAAGAGCAAAUGAAUUGGGAUAAGGAGGAACUUCUUGCUCACAUCCUGGGAGGAGGCAGCAGGGCAGCCUGAAAACCUUUCUCCGAAUCAGAGUUUUCUCCAAACUCUGACUCUGUGGCUGGAGCAGACUCUUAAGUGCUGAGUGUCACUUAUCCAGAUGGUAUAGAAUUAUGUGCCGUCCCCCACCCCACUCCCAUCACCCCUACUCAGUUUGAGGGCAGGAUCCAGGAUUUCCCUCCUUACCACCAGACUCCUUCUCAUUUUGUCCUUCACUGCUAUUUCUCCUCCUGGUCCUGCUCUGUCAGUAUCCUCUACCCUCCACACUUCCCCUCCUCCCGCAGGUUAUUCCAGUUCCGCACCACACCUCUGCCACCAAGAUCUGACAGCCAAAACCCACCAUAUGACGGGUAGGCUGAAACAAAAAAAUU
Bufo gargarizans (Asiatic toad) is the source of this 835-nucleotide long non-coding RNA. RefSeq lists it as uncharacterized. The record is from RefSeq and is a predicted model, not a curated record. Lineage: Eukaryota; Metazoa; Chordata; Amphibia; Anura; Bufonidae. The transcript has 3 exons.